CAGAAAGUAGUUUAUUUAAAAUGUUAGUUUUGGGGAUUAAUGAAAAGAUUAUUAUCUUUUUUCUGA
RNAcentral lists this transfer RNA (66 nucleotides) under Periplaneta americana (American cockroach). RNAcentral describes it as "tRNA-Pro". Lineage: Eukaryota; Metazoa; Arthropoda; Insecta; Blattodea; Blattidae. The record is from RNAcentral.